GGCCGCACCAAAAUGGGCCGCCCCAGAAAUCGCAGUCACUCUCGCCCCAGGAUCAAUCCCUACCUCGCUCGCCUUCCCCACCCACGAGAAUGCAGACGCCGCCCCUCCCAUCUGCACGCCGGCGGCGGCUUCGGCUACCUCAUCCAACGCGCCGCAUACACCAUCACUCUCCGCGCCGUCUACCGUAGUCCCCGCCAUGGUAUCUCCAUCGCGCCUGCCAUGGCCCGGGCCAUGUUGAGCUCCGCGGCGGCGCGGCGCCACGCUCAACUGACGAUUCAGCCUGCACAUACGACCAGGGUGGCCUCAACCCUCGCCCGCACCAGCCCACGCGCGCGCCCGCUAGCCCUUCCCCUCGCCCGCACUUCAACAACGCCGUACUCAUCCAAGCCGGGAACCAGGGAUCCACUUCCCAUGCCGGAUCACCUCUUCAUCGGGAGUCCUAGACUAGGCUAGACUAGGCAGGAAGGAGACACGGCGAAGGAUUCAGUCCAUCUCGAGGUUGCCCUUGCGGUUCUCCCUCCCCUCUCCCAUACGGUCGUUCGUUCUCACGGCGGCCGCACUGGGGACGACAACGCGGGGCGAUUGAAGGUGGUGGUGGCAUACAUCAAGUCUGAUGCUACAGACAAGGAGCUUGUAACCAUCUGGGCUGUCAAACUCAAGCUGGUCCUUUCUCCCGUGAUGUCUGCCCCUAGCUUCGCUGUUUGGAUGCUCAUGCUAGAUAGAGCAGCGACUGGAAAUGGGGCAUCGUGAGCACUGUCUCCCUGGAGGACAAAAAAAGCAAGAGAACGGCUACCGCACGAGACAACCAUGAUGCUACGGAGCAGAGGACAACAACAAUAGAUAUGCUACUAUACUAGCACCGGUUCUCUGUUCCUUUGAUUAAAAUGCUGAGGUCCGUGAUUUCUUGCCUAAUUACCUGUUUUUGACCCAACUGACAUAUUGCCAAUUUUGCUCUGUGUUUUCAGUUGUUUUACUGGUUGUACAUCCAUCUAUUGGGGGAUUAUACAUAGUUUCAUACGUUUGUGGUUCUGACAUCCUUGGUAAAAUGCCAGAACUAUUUGGAAUAGGAAACUCUCUUAUUCAGCGCAAUAAUGCUUUUAAAAUGAUCCAUUUGCAAAAUCAAACCAUGUCACCGACGCCAUAUAUGUCACGUGCCGACCAAGGAGGUGAUGCACGGCGGGGGAGUGAAUUAUGCCUGACGCGGCGAUGGAAGAGGAGGCGCAAGACACGCAACAUGGCGGCACAGCCAACCAUGCGUGACAGCAGCCGCGUAUGAAAUUGACAUACAGAGAAGAAGCUACUGGAGUUCACGGAAGUGCAUGGCAAAGAGGAGGGAUCCAACGAGAAAGAUGAAGAUCCCAAAAUUCGGUUUCAUGGGGUCAUGUUGAAUAUUGAGGAAUAAUAUAUCGGAGAUAUUUUGACUGUACUGAAGAUGUAUAUUUGGCUCAGUAUCAUGAUACUUGUUCUAAGUUGCUUUGUUAUUUCAAAAUAACUCACAAAUCGACUUUUGGUACUGUACAUCUUUCCACAUGAA
Long non-coding RNA from Lolium rigidum, 1534 nucleotides. RefSeq lists it as uncharacterized. The record is from RefSeq and is a predicted model, not a curated record. The transcript has 6 exons. NCBI's taxonomy places the organism in Eukaryota, Viridiplantae, Streptophyta, Magnoliopsida, Poales, Poaceae.